This 2733-nucleotide long non-coding RNA is filed under the name Ovis aries (sheep). Its description in RNAcentral is "lncRNA (ENSOARG00000025512.1)". Lineage: Eukaryota; Metazoa; Chordata; Mammalia; Artiodactyla; Bovidae. The record is from RNAcentral.
GUGGGAACAGCUGGAGGCCCUGAAGAAAGAGAAGGAAACUCAGCUGGUGUGCACAACGCACGUGUGCAGUGUUCUGCAGGAGUGUGGGUCCACUCGGGUCCAGCUGCAAAACCUGAUACUCCAGCUAGAAACCCUGGAGCUGGGGAACUCAGAGGACGGCCACCAUGUUCUGCGAGUGGGCCAGCAGAAGAUGCUGGGGCUGGAGAAAGACAUUCGCCACCUGCAAAGGGCGGCUAGCAAGGUUGAGGAGAUGGGCCCCGCAGAGAGCCCGUCCCUGCAAGGACACGUGGAGACGCUGCAGGGGCUGCUGGAGCGAGUGCGGGAGCAAGUGGCCCAGCGGGGCCACGCCCCCGCCCGCCCCCGCCUCCUGCCCGCUGCAGCUCCUUGGUGACAGCGGUGACACCCAGACGCACGCACCUACCCGACCUUUCCGGCGAGACAGACAUCCCCACGCGUGCACCCACUCUCAUCCACAGAUGCCCGCAUGCAUGCGCGAUCACACACACACACUCGCUCGCUCGCUCGCUCUCUCUCUCGCUCUUCCUGGGGCUCAGCCCCGUGGAGCCAACCAAACACCCGACCAACAGCAGCAUAGAGAGAGGCUGGGGCCUCAGCGCCCCUUCCCUUAGCCCCCUUCCCUUGCUGCAACCCCUGCCCAGGAGAGCUGGGUCCGCACCACGGUCUACCCAGGUGGCUUUCUUAAAGGGAAAGUUGCAUCAGUCUCUUGAGGCUCUCUGCCCCGAGUCUGCCGGCCCGCUGUGCUGCUUGUCAGUCCUCCUGAACUUGUGUUUUGGUUUUCAGGAGGUGAGGGUCAAGAGUUUGCUGAAAGUUUGGAGAGUGAAGAAGCUUUGGGAGACCUAGGCAAGUCCCUCCCCUCUCCCAGCAGCUCUCCUGGCAGCCCUGCCUGCCCCUGCCACCCAUCCACCCUAUUCUCAUCCCUGUGCCCACAGACUUCUCAGGCUCCUCCUCCCAGGGAAUAAAAUUACAAGUUGCUCCAAGCUUUCCGACGAUUGAACCCCACGAACCCCUGGGAGUGGGCUCCGAAAAGGAGCCCCCUGCUCCGCCCCAUCCCCUCUCCCCCCCAGCUCCUGCUCUUCCAGGCUGUGGUUUUUCCUGGAAAGAAGCCAGAAAGGCCUGGGGCACUUGGGGGACUGGGGCUGGAGUUAGCCUGCCAGGCCCCCGGCCUUCUGCGCCUGCGUUCCCCCUAGAGAGAAGUCUGAGCAAAUUCCAUCCCCUUUAGAGCGGUGCCGCUGGGGACUGUGGGCACAGCUGGGUAAGGCCUGGGUCCUCCUCCUUGGGACUGGAGGGCUUGGGGGUCCUUUCUCCACGGACCUGCUCACUGGUUUGGUCAAACCUACACUGGCUCGGGUUCUAUCCUUGUGUUGGGAAGGUCCCCUGGAAGAGGGCACGGCAAUCAACUGUAGUAGUCUUGCCUAGAGAAUCCCAUGGACAGAGGAGCCUGGUGGGCUACAGUCUAUAGGGUUGCAAAGAGUUGGACACUACUGAAAGGACUUAGCACGCACAGGGGUGGUUGUAUUAUAAGGGCUGCUGACACCAACCUGGGCCCUCUGUUCUCGCCCUGGGGAGACUUUGGAGGUUCCAAUCCUAGCUAUAGGAGACUUUGCCAAAGGGAGCUUUGCUGUGCUUCAGUUUCCUGUCCUGCAAAAUAAAUGAAACACCUUGCUCCAGGCUGCCUCUGAGCAGCAGAGCUUGGCAGUUGGUGGAAAGGGGCUCCCACAUUUGCUUGUCUUGAGGCCGCCAGCUUUCGAGGAGAAGGGCCAGUUAGUACCGGCCGUCAGGGGACUGUUGUCGCCCCAGCAUAUGCUCAGGAAGGGACCAGUCUCUUCUCUGCACCCUGAGUCUGUCCUCACUCUUGUCUGCCCAGGAAACCAGUUUCUUUGUUCCCUGGGGAUAGUCAGCCUCCAAAAAGCUGAUUCGCACAUGCCAAACUCAAAUAAGAUCAGUUGACAAGUGAGAUUCCACUUUAUUUACAGAGGCUCUGAGCAAGAUAGCAGGUAUCAGGCACUGACACUUCCUGCCAAGGAACACCAAUCCGUUCCACCAGGCUUCUCCGGGCCCCAACCACUCAGAACUUAUAACUUAUUCACAUUAGAGGCUUGGUUAGAACCGGGACGAUUUGGAGACAUUACUCUCAUCAGCAAGAGUAUUUUCAUUUUUACUUUGUCCCCAGCCUUGCAGGUUUGUGAUUUGUAUUUUAUAGCUUGUUUGUGAUUUGUUUUCUAUGAAUGAACUGCAUGUGUCUUACGUGUGUGUGUCCUCUUCCUGAGCAGUCUGUGGCCCCCAUGCCCCCUGCCCUUGUGCAUUUGUGUAGAUGGAUCUGUGUUUGUGGGGCAGUGGGGUCUCAGUGUGCAUGUGUGCCCAACUCUGGGGACUGGGCCCCUGUGAUCCAAGCCUCCCUCCCUCUGCCUGUCCUGCUGGGAUGUAAAUUCUCUUACUGGUCUCUCCCUCCCUCCUGCUGGGGCUUGUCAUAAAGGGCCAGGACACAGGGAAGACAGGCUGGAGGCUGCUGGAAGAUCCUCCAUGGAGUGGAGUGGGGACAAGGAAGAAUAGGAGGGUGGGACAGUGGCUUCCAUUCCCCUUGAAGGAGUAGACUGGGGCUGGGGGCCCCUGAGAAAAGAGCACUGAGUGUCAGUGAAGCUUCUGGGACCAACGUGGCCACCCCACUCUAAGGACUCCACACAAAGCAGAGGCGGGGGGGGGGGGGGGGGGGGG